RNAcentral lists this ribosomal RNA (528 nucleotides) under uncultured metazoan. Its description in RNAcentral is "SSU rRNA". It matches the Rfam family "Eukaryotic small subunit ribosomal RNA", at positions 47 to 565 of the family's 1831-position model. Lineage: Eukaryota; Metazoa. The record is from RNAcentral.
AGCCAUGCAUGUCUAGAAUAAGCCCUUGAACGGUGAAUCUGCGAAUGGCUCAUUAAAUCAGUUAUUGUUUAUUUGAUGGUACCUUACUACUUGGAUAACCGUAGUAAUUCUAGAGCUAAUACAUGCGUCAAGCCCUGACUUCGGAAAGGGUGCAUUUAUUAGAUUCAAACCAUCGGCUCGUCUGGGCAACUGGGCGCGGCCUUUGAUGGUGAGUCAUAAUAACUUAGCGAAUCGAAUGGCCUUGCGCCGUCGAUGCUUCAUUCAAAUUUCUGCCCUAUCAGCUUUCGAUGGUAGGAUCUUGGCCUACCAUGGCUAUAACGGGUAACGGGGAAUUAGGGUUCGAUUCCGGAGAGGGAGCUUGAGAAACGGCUACCACAUCCAAGGAUGGCAGCAGGCGCGCAAAUUACCCAAUCCCGACACGGGGAGGUAGUGACAAUAAAUAACGAUGCUGGAUUAUUAUUAAUCCGGCAAUUGGAAUGAGAGUGAAUUAAAUCUCCACUCGAGGAACCAUUGGAGGGCAAGUCUGGU